CUCUUCCUCCUGCUACUGCCAUGUGAGAUACCUGCCCCUACUUUGCCUUCUUCCAUGAUUGGAAGCUUCCUGAGGCCACCCCAGAGUCAGAAGCCGCUAUGCUUCCUGGACAGCUUGCAGAACCCAAUGUGAGGAAAGUGGAAUGAACUUGGACUUUGAAGGCAAACUAACCUGGAAUCAAAUACUGGCUCUGCUGUUUGCAAGUGUGAUCUUUGGGUAUGCUUCCUAAUCUGUGAGCUUCAACUUCCUCCUCUGUAAACCAAGAUCAAAGACAAACAGGGAAACCUACUUGUCUGGUGCCCAUCCCCUUGGCAGAACACUCCUCUGAAGGAUGACAGUUUGGCUGUGCCAGGGCAGAGCUGCCGACACCAAAUGAGCCUUCAUAGCAACUAUCUGAUGAGGAACUCACUGGCCUACCUUUCCUUGACAGCUGGGGCCUGCCAGCCUUGAAGCAUGACUCCACAACGCCCCUACCCAAGGCCAUGGAGGUUGCUGCUGAUGAGCAAGCUGUUUUAUAUUUAAUCCAGGUUUCUGCUUGGAGAGGAAGAAGGUAGAGGAGCCAGCGAAGGUUUGUCUGAAUGAUACUUGCAGAAAAAACACUGGUAACAGUCACAAAACUUUGAAAAU
This 627-nucleotide long non-coding RNA is filed under the name Homo sapiens (human). RNAcentral's name for it is "KRT19 interacting long noncoding RNA in hepatocellular carcinoma". Lineage: Eukaryota; Metazoa; Chordata; Mammalia; Primates; Hominidae. The record is from RNAcentral.